GAUCAUGGCUCAGGAUGAACGCUGGCGGCAUGCCUAAUACAUGCAAGUCGAACGGGAGUGCUUGCACUCCAGUGGCGAACGGGUGAGUAAUACAUAGGUAACCUGUCCUUAAGACGAGGAUAGCUUCUAGAAAUGGAAGAUAAAACUGGAUAGGACAUCACAAAUCACAUGAUUAGAUGUUUAAAAGAGCAAUCUACUUAAGGAGGGGCCUGUGGCGCAUUAGCCAGAUGGCGGGGUAAUGGCCCACCAUAGCGAUGAUGCGUAGCCGGUCUGAGAGGACGAACGGCCACAUUGGGACUGAGACACGGCCCAGACUCCUACGGGAGGCAGCAGUAGGGAAUUUUCGGCAAUGGGCGGAAGCCUGACCGAAGCAAUGCCGCGUGAAUGAAGAAGUAUUUCGGUAUGUAAAGUUCUUUUAUUUGGGACGAAAAAACAAAUUGACGGUACCAAAUGAAUAAGCCCCGGCUAACUAUGUGCCAGCAGCAGC
This 487-nucleotide ribosomal RNA is filed under the name uncultured bacterium. Its description in RNAcentral is "bacterial SSU rRNA". It matches the Rfam family "Bacterial small subunit ribosomal RNA", at positions 15 to 518 of the family's 1533-position model. The record is from RNAcentral.